Non-coding RNA from Crotalus tigris (Tiger rattlesnake), 72 nucleotides. Lineage: Eukaryota; Metazoa; Chordata; Lepidosauria; Squamata; Viperidae. The record is from the annotation of a RefSeq genome assembly.
UCCCUGGUGGUCUAAUGGUCAGGAUUCAGUGCUUUCAUCGCUGCGGCCCGGGUUUGAUUUCCGGCCAGGGAA